This 792-nucleotide ribosomal RNA is filed under the name Rhizophagus sp. GB6. RNAcentral's name for it is "bacterial SSU rRNA". It matches the Rfam family "Eukaryotic small subunit ribosomal RNA", at positions 1 to 1106 of the family's 1831-position model. Lineage: Eukaryota; Fungi; Glomeromycota; Glomeromycetes; Glomerales; Glomeraceae. The record is from RNAcentral.
GCUACGAAGAGAUGCAAGUGUACUCAUGUGUGUCUCGUUAGGCGCUGACGAUAGUCGAAUCUCGACGUUUGGCAUCUCUAGAGCAUUGCUGAGCGCAUAUGCCGCGGCAUUUGGCCACCGUAUUCGAGUCUCUCGCAGAGGCCCUGUUUGCCCUUUGUUUUCCCGUUAGGGCCCGGAAGUGUGUCCGUCAGCACCGGCCAAGGUCAUGUUCGAGUUUUGGAGGGGCAGUCUGGUGCCAGCUAGCCGCGGUAAUUCCAGCUCCAAUAGCGUAUAUUAAAGUUGUUGCAGUUAAAAAGCUCGUAGUUGAAUUUCGGGGUCAGUAGGUUGGUCAUGCCACAGGUAUGAACUGGUCUCACUGAUUCCUCCUUCCUGAUGAACCGUAAUGCCAUUAAUUUGGUGUUGCGGGGAGACUUGGACUGUUACUUUGAAAAAAUUAGAGUGUUUAAAGCAAGCGCUAACGCUUGAAUACACAACCAUCGAACAAUCGAAAUAGGACGUUCAAGGUCUUAUUUUGUUGGUUUACUAAGAUCUCCGACGUAAUGAUUAAUAGGGAUAGUUGGGGGCAUUAGUAUUCAAUUGUCAGAGGUGAAAUUCUUGGAUUUAUUGAAGACUAACUACUGCGAAAGCAUUUCCCAAGGAUGUUUUCAUUAAUCAAGAACGAAAGUUAGGGGAUCGAAGACGAUCAGACGCUACUCGGUGUCGGAGUCCGAACCAUAAACUAUGCCGACUAGGGAUCGGACGAUGUUAAUUUUUUAACUCCGACUCAAUAGGCGCCAACCGGGGAAAAAGUAA